GGAGAAGAAUGACAGGAAGACUCAGGACUGUUCUUAUGCGAAACUGCAGAAAUUAAACACCUCAGGAAAUGAAAAGCACAAAACUCUCAUUACAGUGGGAAGCUUCUCCCUGAUGACAGACUGAAGGGCGUCUCAUUGGUUAAGCUGGCAGACCAUCCUCAGCUGAUCUGUUUUGCCAUCUCAUUCUGUCUGCUGGGAAGACAACAAAAUGCGGGCAAGCAGCUGGUGGUGGAAUUAGGCUUUAUGUACUGAGUGUGGGAGAAGAUUUUCAGGCCUGGAGCUGUAAUUUGCUUGAUCUGGGCAUGUGAGCCACAAUUCUUAUCUGAAUCUAGCUUCUUUACAGCCUUUGAGACCCACCCAGGAUCAAAGAUGGGGUGACAUUUCCUUGCAUCCUCAUGGGAUCAAAGCUUGAUUUAGACUCAAACACAUAUUUGGCUGGAACAGCUGCUAUUCAAAUCCUCCUCUGAUGUCACAUCAUGUUAUGGGGUGACUUUGGAGUCCAUCUCAAGAGAUCUGAAAGCGGCAUGCAAGUUCAGGCAAUCCUGAAGACCAUAACAUUAAAGCUUGCUGAGUAAGAAGGAAAAUGAUUUAGUUUAUUGCCCUCAUCGUCCCUUCUGCACGUCCAAAGCUUUGUGCUUUGCUCUCACUAUUCCUUAGGCCUACAUCCCUUUCUCCACUGUCAAGCUAUGCCUGGAAAAAUCCUCCCUCCCCAUCCUUCAAGACCCUGCUCAAAUACCAUCUCCUUUAUGAUGCAUGAUCCUAUCAAUAAGAAAUUCUCUUUCCUUUGUCACACCUUGAAUAGCACUUUGCACGCCUUCUUUAACCUAUUCACCUUUUUAAUUUUUUUGUCAUUGUUGCACAAUUAUGUGUAUAUGUAUGUAUGUAUAAACACACAUACGUCUGUAUGUCUUCUCCCUUUGCUGGACUAUGAAUUCUGUGACAAUAGGAUUAUGUCUUAUUUAAUUAGUAU
Long non-coding RNA from Phascolarctos cinereus (koala), 970 nucleotides. RefSeq lists it as uncharacterized. Lineage: Eukaryota; Metazoa; Chordata; Mammalia; Diprotodontia; Phascolarctidae. The record is from RefSeq and is a predicted model, not a curated record.